Molecule: ribosomal RNA, 501 nt
Filed under: uncultured Glomeromycotina
Lineage: Eukaryota; Fungi; Glomeromycota
Description: partial small subunit ribosomal RNA
Rfam family: Eukaryotic small subunit ribosomal RNA
Source: RNAcentral
CCAAUAGCGUAUAUUAAAGUUGCUGCAGUUAAAAAGCUCGUAGUUGAAUUUCGGGACCAUCAUGUCGGUCGUGCCUCGGUACGUACUGGUAUUGUUGGUUUCUCCCUUCUGACGAACCAUGAUGUCAUUUAUUUGGUGUUGUGGGGAAUCCAGGACUGUUACUUUGAAAAAAAUUAGAGUGUUUAAAGCAGGCUCACGCUUGAAUACAUUAGCAUGGAAUAAUGAAAUAGGACGUUUGAUUCUAUUUUGUUGGUUUCUAGGAUCGACGUAAUGAUUAAUAGGGAUAGUUGGGGGCAUUAGUAUUCAAUUGUCAGAGGUGAAAUUCUUGGAUUUAUUGAAGACUAACUACUGCGAAAGCAUUUGCCAAGGAUGUUUUCAUUAAUCAAGAACGAAAGUUAGGGGAUCGAAGACGAUCAGAUACCGUCGUAGUCUUAACCAUAAACUAUGCCGACUAGGAAUCAGACGAUGUUAAUUUUUUAAUGACUCGUUUGGCACCUUACG